Molecule: ribosomal RNA, 330 nt
Filed under: uncultured eukaryote
Lineage: Eukaryota
Description: partial 18S ribosomal RNA
Rfam family: Eukaryotic small subunit ribosomal RNA
Source: RNAcentral
CCCUUAGAUGUUCUGGGCCGCACGCGCGCUACACUGAUGAAUUUAACGAGCUCCUAACCUAGGCCGAAGGGUCCGGGUAAUCUUUGAAAUUUCAUCGUGAUGGGGAUAGAUUAUUGCAAUUAUUAAUCUUCAACGAGGAAUUCCUAGUAAGCGCGAGUCAUCAGCUCGCGUUGAUUACGUCCCUGCCCUUUGUACACACCGCCCGUCGCUCCUACCGAUUGAAUGGUCCGGUGAAAUGUUCGGAUCGCGGCAAAUCGGACGGGUAACCGUCAGGUUCGCUGCGAGAAGUUCAUUAAACCUUAUCAUUUAGAGGAAGGAGAAGUCGUAACA